AUUGAACGCUGGCGGCAGGCCUAACACAUGCAAGUCGAGCGGAUGACGAGAGCUUGCUCCGCUGACGAGUGGCGAACGGGUGAGUAAUAUAUCGGAACGUACCCAAGAGUGGGGGAUAACGUAGCGAAAGUUACGCUAAUACCGCAUACGAUCUAUGGAUGAAAGCAGGGGACCUUCGGGCCUUGUGCUCCUGGAGCGGC
This 200-nucleotide ribosomal RNA is filed under the name uncultured bacterium. RNAcentral's name for it is "partial 16S ribosomal RNA". It matches the Rfam family "Bacterial small subunit ribosomal RNA", at positions 30 to 230 of the family's 1533-position model. The record is from RNAcentral.